AACUUUGAGUGAUAGAUCACUCAGCUCGUGGGUCGAUGAAGAGUGCAGCCAAUUGUGUGAAUUAAUGUGAACUGUAUACUGCUUUGAACAUGGACAUUUUGAACGCAUGCUUGCCGAUAUCUCUCUGACGGUAG
RNAcentral lists this ribosomal RNA (134 nucleotides) under Trichobilharzia regenti. RNAcentral describes it as "5.8S ribosomal RNA". It matches the Rfam family "5.8S ribosomal RNA". From Rfam's summary of the family: 5.8S ribosomal RNA (5.8S rRNA) is a component of the large subunit of the eukaryotic ribosome. It is transcribed by RNA polymerase I as part of the 45S precursor that also contains 18S and 28S rRNA. The record is from Rfam by way of RNAcentral. Lineage: Eukaryota; Metazoa; Platyhelminthes; Trematoda; Strigeidida; Schistosomatidae.